Molecule: ribosomal RNA, 463 nt
Filed under: Promyrmekiaphila sp. ANGL
Lineage: Eukaryota; Metazoa; Arthropoda; Arachnida; Araneae; Euctenizidae
Description: partial 16S ribosomal RNA
Rfam family: Bacterial large subunit ribosomal RNA
Source: RNAcentral
UCGCCUGUUUAUCAAAAACAUCUCUAAAUGACUUUCAUUUUUAGUAAGACCUGCUCAAUGACUUUUUAAAUUGCCGCAUUCAAUGUGCUAAGGUAGCAUAAUCAUUUGCCUUUUAAUUGUAGGCUAGUAUGAAUGGUUGUUCAUGUGGAUUUCUUUAUUGACUUUAUUUCUUCAAUUUUUCUUUUAAGUAAAAAGACUUAUAUUUAUUAGAGGGACGACAAGACCCUAUCGAGCUUUACUUAUGUUGAACUGGGGCGGUAUUAAACUAAAUCUUUAUAAUUUUCCUUCAAACAUUCUUUUUAUAAAAUUUAUAAGUUACCGUAGGGAUAACAGCAUAAUCUUCUUUCAUAGAUCUUAUUGAAAAGAAAGUUUAUGACCUCGAUGUUGAAUUAUUAAUCUUUUUGAAGCAAAAUUUAAAAAAGAAAGUCUGUUCGACUUUUAAAAAUUUACGUGAUCUGAGUUC